CAAUAGCGUAUAUUAAAGUUGUUGCAGUUAAAAAGCUCGUAGUUGGAUUUCUGGCAGGAGCGACCGGUCACACACUCUGUGUGUGAACUUGCGUUGUCUCUGGCCAUCCUUGGGAAGAUCCUGUUUGGCAUUAAGUUGUCGGGCAGGGGAUACCCAUCGUUUACUGUGAAAAAAUUAGAGUGUUUAAAGCAGGCUUAUGCCGUUGAAUAUAUUAGCAUGGAAUAAUAAGAUAGGACUUCGGAACUAUUUUGUUGGUUUGCGUUACGAAGUAAUGAUUAAUAGGGACAGUUGGGGGUAUUCGUAUUUCGUUGUCAGAGGUGAAAUUCUUGGAUUUCCGAAAGACGAACUACUGCGAAAGCAUUUACCAAGGAAGUUUUCAUUAA
RNAcentral lists this ribosomal RNA (383 nucleotides) under uncultured eukaryote. RNAcentral's name for it is "partial 18S ribosomal RNA". It matches the Rfam family "Eukaryotic small subunit ribosomal RNA", at positions 592 to 976 of the family's 1831-position model. The record is from RNAcentral.